This 619-nucleotide long non-coding RNA is filed under the name Numida meleagris (helmeted guineafowl). Its description in RNAcentral is "lncRNA (ENSNMEG00000019036.1)". Lineage: Eukaryota; Metazoa; Chordata; Aves; Galliformes; Numididae. The record is from RNAcentral.
AUAACAUUUCAUGUUAUUGGAAAAAAACUAAAAGAAAAAUGGACUUUUUCAAAGCCACAGAUGUUCUUCCAAUCCAGGGAAAAAGCACCCAUGGAGAAACAGCCUGAACUUCCAUGAGACGAUCUGAAGCUGGACUCAUUCUGUAGCAGGAGGGACUGAGAAUACAAAUGUAAGGGGAAUUGCAUCACCACGACAUGUAGCAUAUUAUUUAUUAAUGCUCUGAAGAGUACAGCUGCCCAAAAGAGAUGGUCUCACUGAAAAGUUGGCUUUGCAUGGGAAAAAUAUUCCUGGUGAAAGUGCUUGUAGAAGGGAAAAAGGAGGCCAUGCCACAUUUGCAAAAACAGAUUACACAUCAGUGGAUGAACAACUCAAGAGGAGAGCUCACUGGAACACAAAGAUGUGAAUGGCUGAACCAUUCUUGACAGGAGCUCAAAAGAAUCAUAGAAUGGCCUGGGUUGAAAGGGACCUCAAAGAUCAUCUAGUUUCAACCCCCCUGCUGAGUGCAGGGUUGCCAACCACUAGACCAGGCUGCCCAGAGCCACGUCCAGCCUGGCCUUGAAUGCCUCCAGGGACGGGGCAUCCACAACCUCCUUGGGCAACCUGUUCCAGUGAAAAGAAG